GGCCGGAUGGCCGAGUGGUCUAAGGCGUCAGAUUUAAGAACCAUUGCUUCCUGAUGGGUGUGAACCCGCGCGAGUUCGAACCUCGCUUCGGCCA
Molecule: non-coding RNA, 94 nt
Organism: Mycena vulgaris
Lineage: Eukaryota; Fungi; Basidiomycota; Agaricomycetes; Agaricales; Mycenaceae
Source: the annotation of a GenBank genome assembly